This 86-nucleotide transfer RNA is filed under the name Heterocephalus glaber (naked mole-rat). It matches the Rfam family "tRNA". Rfam says of the family: Transfer RNA (tRNA) molecules are approximately 80 nucleotides in length. Lineage: Eukaryota; Metazoa; Chordata; Mammalia; Rodentia; Bathyergidae. The record is from Rfam by way of RNAcentral.
GGUGGUGUCACUCAGUGGUAGAGUACUUGCUUCACAUGCAAGUGAUGCCUCACAUUAGAGUCUGGGUUCAAUCCUCAGUACCACAA